This is a long non-coding RNA of Eucalyptus grandis, 2857 nucleotides long. RefSeq lists it as uncharacterized. The transcript has 3 exons. Lineage: Eukaryota; Viridiplantae; Streptophyta; Magnoliopsida; Myrtales; Myrtaceae. The record is from RefSeq and is a predicted model, not a curated record.
GAGCAUUGAUGAUCAUUUUGCUUUCAUCUUUUUGGCUGAGAUGAUGAAAGUAGUCUUUCAUGCGAUAGGCUGAAAUUUGGUGGUCUUGAUUGGAAUUUGUUCUUCGGUUUUCUAUUUUUGGGGGUUGAUUAUCGUCUAGUCCUGAUCCUCUCGCAGGUCGGAGUUUUGCAAGACUUGACAAGUGGUGAUCUGGUGCGAGCUGACGAUUGUCUGAAAUUGGAUAAGCUCUGUCUCUCUAGGCAGUAUUGGUUUGAAUGAAAUUUGUUCUCCACUCCCAUAAUUUUCCAAUUAAUGCGAAACCCGAUUCUCAUUCCUUCGGAGGUCUGUUUUGUCGAUGUAUGAUCUGUCAUGGUUCUUUCUUUGCAAGGUGUAAGCACCACAACAGAUCACUAUCCAAUUUAGAUCUGCUUGCUAAUGUCUCCUUCGUAGAAAUGAUCCCUACCUUCUGUUCUCAUCCUUCAAUCUCAUCGGGAGACGUCGUUAUGGGAAGUGUUUGGUUUAGCUCCUCCUCUGAUCCUUUAUCAAACCCACUUUCGGUACAAUUGUUUCACAAUCUGCUUCUGGAUUUUUGUUAUUUGGUGAAUCUGCAGUGGCUUCUUUUCCCCAUGGAGCGAAACUGUUUGUCUUGGGAUGUCGAGGACGAUGAAUACGACGACACCGGUUAGCAUGUUUCAUAUAACACGGAUGUUUGGGCUUUUGGAGGACUGAUGAUCCUUUGGCUGCUGUCUUUUUCUCUUGGUUGAGAUGAUGAACUAGUAGUCUUUCAGGCAAUAGGCUGAAAUUUGCUGGUCUUCAUUGGAAUUUUGUUCUUUGGUUUUUUUAUCUUUGGGGGUUGAUUAUUGUGUAGUCCUGAUCCUCUCACAGGUUGGAGUUUUGCUAGACUCGACAAGUGGUGAUCUGGUGCGAGCUGACGAUUGUCUGAAAUUGGAUAAGCUCUGUCUCUCUUGGCAGUUAUUGGUUUGAAUGAAAUUUGUUCUCCACUCCCAUAAUUUUCCAAUUAAUGCGAAACCCGAUUCUCAUUCCUUCGGAGGUCUGUUUUGUCGAUGUAUGAUCUGUCAUGGUUCUUUCUUUGCAAGGUGUAAGCACCACAACAGAUCACUAUCCAAUCCAGAUCCGCUUGCCAGUGUCUCCUUUUUAGAAAUAGUCCCCCCCUCGUGUUCUCAUCCUUCAAUCUCAUUGGGAGACGUCGUUAUGGAAAGUGUUUGGUUUAGCUCCUCCUCUGAUCCCUUAUCAAACCCACUUUCUGUACAAUUGUUUCACAAGCCGCUACUGGAUUUUUGUUAUUUGGUGAAUCUGCAGUGGCUUCUUUUCCCCAUGGAGCGAAACUGUUUGUCUUGGGAUGUCGAGGACGAUGAAUACGACGACACCGGUUAGCAUGUUUCAUAUAACACGGAUGUUUGGGCUUUUGGAGGACUGAUGAUCCUUUGGCUGCUGUCUUUUUCUCUUGGUUGAGAUGAUGAACUAGUAGUCUUUCAGGCAAUAGGCUGAAAUUUGCUGGUCUUCAUUGGAAUUUUGUUCUUUGGUUUUUUUUUAUCUUUGGGGGUUGAUUAUUGUGUAGUCCUGAUCCUCUCACAGGUCGGAGUUUUGCUAGACUCGACUAAGUGGUGAUCUGGUGCGAGCUGAUGAUUGUCUGAAGUUGGAUAAGCUUUAUCGCGUCUGGAGGCAGUUAUCGGUUUGAUUGAAAUUUGUUCUCCAGUCCCAUAAUUUUGCGAUUAAUGCGAAACCCAAAUCUCAUUCCUUCGGAGGUCUGUGUAUGGUCGAUAUAUGAUCUGUGAUGGUUCUUUCUUUGCAAGGUGUACAUGCCACAACAGAUCAGUAUGCAAUACAGAUCCACUUGCCGGUGUCUCCUUGCUAGAAGUAGUCCCUCCCUCAUGUUCUCAUCCUUCAAUCUCAUCGGGGGAUGUCGUUAUAGGAAGUGUUUGGUCUAGCUCCUCCUCUGAUCCUCUAUCAAACUCACUUUCUGUACAAUUGUUUCACGAGCUGCCUCUGGAUUUUUGUUAUUUGGUGAAUCCGCAGUGGCUUCUUUUCUACAUGGAGCGAAAGUGUUUAUCUGAGGAUGUCCAGGACGUGAAUGCGAUGACUCCAGUCAGCUUGUUUCAUAAAACACGGAUGUUUGGGCUUUUUGGAGGACUGAUGAUCAUACAAUCGUCAGCUCGCACCAGAUUGAUGUUGUCUGCAUGUUGCAUCUUUCCUCUUGUAGCAAUCUCUUCAUCCGAGCAUGUUGUCUAAGAAUGACAAAUACAUAGAAGCUGGAUGAGCGAAUUUUGAGGAUUUAUAGGCAUCUUGUAGUUUUGAUUUAAGUUUGUCUUCAGUUGAUUAUCUUCCGGAGCAGUGAGAUAAUUAUUAUCGAGUUCUAAUUCCUCUACUGGAAGCUUUUCCAUGUUGAGAAGUGGUGUGAUCUAUUGCCUUCUUCUGUAGGGUGAGUUGAUGAUUGUUUGAAAUUGGAUAAACAGCCAUUUUGUGGAUUCUAAGGACUGGUAUAUAUGAUGAGGUUGGUCAAUUAUUACUUAGAAUGACUGAGCUUUUCUUGAGUUUGACGAUCUAUUCACAUCUAUCUUCGGUUGGGUUGGUGUAUGGGCAGUGUCCUUGAUCAUCUCGAGGACCAGUUGAAGAGCUGAAAUUUUGAUAAACUCCUGCUGCGUAGGCACUUUGUUGAAUGUCAUUCCUCAGUUGAUUCCCUUGGAGUGGAAAGAUGACAAUUCAGCUUUUUCUGUAUGGCUAAGUUGAUGAAUUGCGGAGUCCGCGCUUUGUUUGAAAUUGGAUAAGCUCCCCCUUCUUGGAUUUGGUUCCUUUGAUGUCUUCACUCUAUAUGUGUACAUGGAUGAAUCCUUAAUCAAUUAAUAUUUUGGCCAUGCUA